Molecule: ribosomal RNA, 879 nt
Filed under: uncultured bacterium
Lineage: Bacteria
Description: bacterial SSU rRNA
Rfam family: Bacterial small subunit ribosomal RNA
Source: RNAcentral
UAGCUACAGGCUUAACACAUGCAAGUCGAGGGGAUACGACAUCGAAAGCUUGCUUUUGAUGGGCGUCGACCGGCGCACGGGUGUGUAACGCGUAUCCAACCUGCCCACCACUUGGGGAUAACCUUGCGAAAGUAAGACUAAUACCCAAUGAUAUCUCUAGAAGACAUCUGAAAGAGAUUAAAGAUUUAUCGGUGAUGGAUGGGGAUGCGUCUGAUUAGCUUGUUGGCGGGGUAACGGCCCACCAAGGGCAACGAUCAGUAGGGGUUCUGAGAGGAAAGGUCCCCCACAUUGGAACUGAGACACGGUCCAAACUCCUACGGGAGGCAGCAGUGAGGAAUAUUGGUCAAUGGACGAGAGUCUGAACCAGCCAAGUAGCGUGCAGGAUGACGGCCCUAUGGGUUGUAAACUGCUUUUAUAAGGGAAUAAAGUGAGUCUCGUGAGACUUUUUGCAUGUACCUUAUGAAUAAGGACCGGCUAAUUCCGUGCCAGCAGCCGCGGUAAUACGGAAGGUCCGGGCGUUAUCCGGAUUUAUUGGGUUUAAAGGGAGCGUAGGCUGGAGAUUAAGCGUGUUGUGAAAUGUAGACGCUCAACGUCUGCACUGCAGCGCGAACUGGUUUCCUUGAGUACGCACAAAGUGGGCGGAAUUCGUGGUGUAGCGGUGAAAUGCUUAGAUAUCACGAAGAACUCCGAUUGCGAAGGCAGCUCACUGGAGCGCAACUGACGCUGAAGCCCGAAAGUGCGGGUAUCGAACAGGAUUAGAUACCCUGGUAGUCCGCACGGUAAACGAUGGAUGCCCGCUGUUGGUCUGAAUAGGUCAGCGGCCAAGCGAAAGCAUUAAGCAUCCCACCUGGGGAGUACGCCGGCAACGGUGAAACUCAG